UACGAAGGGGGCUAGCGUUGUUCGGAAUUACUGGGCGUAAAGCGCGUGUAGGCGGGUCUUUAAGUCAGGGGUGAAAUGCCAAGGCUCAACCUUGGAACUGCCUUUGAUACUGGAGACCUUGAGUCCGGGAGAGGUGAGUGGAAUUGCGUGUGUAGAGGUGAAAUUCGUAGAUAUUCGCAAGAACACCAGUGGCGAAGGCGGCUCACUGGCCCGGAACUGACGCUGAGACGCGAAAGCGUGGGGAGCAAACAGG
RNAcentral lists this ribosomal RNA (253 nucleotides) under uncultured bacterium. Its description in RNAcentral is "partial 16S ribosomal RNA". It matches the Rfam family "Bacterial small subunit ribosomal RNA", at positions 524 to 776 of the family's 1533-position model. The record is from RNAcentral.